Molecule: ribosomal RNA, 498 nt
Filed under: uncultured bacterium
Lineage: Bacteria
Description: bacterial SSU rRNA
Rfam family: Bacterial small subunit ribosomal RNA
Source: RNAcentral
ACUCAAAUGAAUUGACGGGGGCCCGCACAAGCGGCGGAGCAUGCGGAUUAAUUCGAGGCAACGCGAAGAACCUUACCAAGGCUUGACAUACACCGGAAGCCGCCAGAGAUGGUGGUCUCUUUGAUACUGGUGUACAGGUGGUGCAUGGUUGUCGUCAGCUCGUGUCGUGAGAUGUUGGGUUAAGUCCCGCAACGAGCGCAACCCUUGUCCUAUGUUGCCAGCACGUUAUGGUGGGGACUCAUGGGAGACUGCCGGGGUUAACUCGGAGGAAGGUGGGGAUGACGUCAAAUCAUCAUGCCCCUUAUGUCUUGGGCUUCACGCAUGCUACAAUGGCCGGUACAGAGGGAAGCGAUAUCGUGAGGUGGAGCGGAUCCCUUAAAGCCGGUCUCAGUUCGGAUCGAAGUCUGCAACUCGACUUCGUGAAGGUGGAGUCGCUAGUAAUCGCAGAUCAGCAACGCUGCGGUGAAUACGUUCUCGGGCCUUGCACACACCGCCCGU